RNAcentral lists this unclassified non-coding RNA (143 nucleotides) under uncultured Leotiomycetes. RNAcentral describes it as "sequence contains ITS2". The record is from RNAcentral. Lineage: Eukaryota; Fungi; Ascomycota; Leotiomycetes.
CAACCCUCAAGCUCAGCUUGGUAUUGGGCGUCACUAGCAGGUGCUCCCUAAAAUCAGUGGCGGUGCCAUCCGGCUUCAAGCGUAGUACUACUUCUCGCUUUGGAGGUUAGGGUGUCGCCUGCCAUCAAUCACCAAUUUCUAAA